CAAGGCAGAAUUGCAGUAUCGUCUCCUAUACGCAGCAAGCAAGCAAACUAUUAAAAUCCUUUUGCGAUGGCUUACUUAGAAGUCAAAUAUCCUGAGAUCUCAGUAUGCCAAGCACUGGAAAGUAUUAUGAAGCGUCUUUUUCAGGAUUUGGCAACCAGAAGAAGUUUGCACCUUUGUGGAGCUUCCACUCCGCCCUUUCUUUCUUCGUUGCACCUUUUGUGAUCUUGAAACAGAAGACAAAAGAGAUGCUGAAUCCUAAUGCCGGCAUUUACAUUUUCUGGUAGCGGAUGAUGUAGAAGAACAGCGGCUUCAAAUGCACCCAGUACCUGAGGGCGAAGCGCGGCAUGAUACUCCUUCAUAAGCUCGGGAGAAUAGAGGGAAGAGAUGGGUUGAAAUGGAUUUACAGUCACGAGACUGCAGCCAG
This is a long non-coding RNA of Alligator sinensis (Chinese alligator), 424 nucleotides long. RefSeq lists it as uncharacterized. Lineage: Eukaryota; Metazoa; Chordata; Crocodylia; Alligatoridae. The record is from RefSeq and is a predicted model, not a curated record. The transcript is spliced from 3 exons.